This 431-nucleotide ribosomal RNA is filed under the name uncultured bacterium. RNAcentral describes it as "bacterial SSU rRNA". It matches the Rfam family "Bacterial small subunit ribosomal RNA", at positions 355 to 786 of the family's 1533-position model. The record is from RNAcentral.
UGGGGAAUCUUGCGCAAUGGGCGAAAGCCUGACGCAGCGACGCCGCGUGGGGGAUGACGGGUUUCGGCUUGUAAACCCCUGUUGCCCGGGACGAACUUCCCCUUUCGAGGAGAUUGACGGUACCGGGUGAGGAAGCACCGGCUAACUCUGUGCCAGCAGCCGCGGUAAUACAGAGGGUGCGAGCGUUGUCCGGAAUCACUGGGCGUAAAGGGCGCGUAGGUGGCGCGACAAGUCGGUGGUGAAAGUUCGACGCUCAACGUCGAAUCGGCCACCGAUACUGUCGGGCUCGAGCACUGUAGAGGCUAAUGGAAUUCCGGGUGUAGCGGUGGAAUGCGUAGAGAUCCGGAAGAACACCGGUGGCGAAGGCGGUUAGCUGGGCAGUUGCUGACACUGAGGCGCGACAGCGUGGGGAGCAAACAGGAUUAGAUACC